Molecule: non-coding RNA, 179 nt
Organism: Podarcis lilfordi (Lilford's wall lizard)
Lineage: Eukaryota; Metazoa; Chordata; Lepidosauria; Squamata; Lacertidae
Source: the annotation of a GenBank genome assembly
AUGGGACAAAGGGUAUGGUUGUUGGAUCAAAGCUAGAUAUAUUUCAUUGAUUUUCCUGCUUGCAAUCCUUGUGACUACUAUGUUUUAGGGAAACAUAGCAGAGUCACAAGGAUUGCAAGCAGGAACAUCAAUGAAACAUACCUUUCUUUGAUCCAAUAACCAUAUCUUUUGUCCCAUGC